UGGGAAUGGAUAUUUUUUUUCUGUUCAAGGAGAAAGAAUAACAAUGAGAAAUGUACUAGAGAGAGAAGAAUAAUUUUCAGCGAGAAAUGUAAAAUACACCGACCAAUCAAAGAGGAUUCACCUAAGUCAAGGAGUCACUGCUCGCGACUUUACGAAGAAAUCUGUAUUCGACUCUCGAAUGAUCGCGAAUCAUAUUGCGAUAUCUACUUUACGGUGGUAUUUGCGUCAUUCCUGUCCAAGGAUUCUUUUAAGUAGCGCACGUGAGAUUUUUAUUCGUAUACAUAUAAGCAUGCAUUAACAAUAACGCAAUAAAUUGUGCUAUUGUCUAGUGUACCUCGUGUAUUGUUGACGCCACUGAUGUAGGUCAAUGUCGUUACCGCAUUCAGAAAUUAUUAUUAAUCAUUUUUUUUUGUCGUUGCAUUUUUUUACUUGAAACGCAACCUAUUCCAAUACCAAUUAUUUUAAUUCUUUGAGGAAUAAUCGUCUUCCAUUAGUAAAAUUUGUAUCAUAAAUCUGAUCGCAACGUUUUAACCUCUCGCAUUUUGUAAUAACUAUUGCGCGUUGGUUGAAAAUUUAAAUCAUAAUUCUCGCUGAUUUCAAUGUUCCGUUUGCCACGGAAUUAUAUAAUUAUUACGUACUGAGCUUUCUUGCGUGUGACAGCCUAUAGAUCACUUGAUUCGCGCAUUUAAAUUCGAGAUUUUUCGCAAAUACCUACGUCAAUCGAAUAACAGUAUUCGAGACUAAUUUUCGAGACCGAUCACUACGAUAUGCUGCGAGUAAUGUAUAUGAUAUUAACUCGACGUUUAUAACGUGGAAUCAUCGUGGCUAGUUAAUGUACAGGAAAUGCAAAGUUAACUUCUGCUUAUUACAUCCACGCAACUUCUUUUGUCUAUUCCCAAAAAAAGACUUUGCCGUGCCUGCGAAUUGGAGGAACGUACAAUUCGAAUUAAAGUUACGACAUCGAAAAUGUUUAUUCUGAAAUAUUAUUUGGAUCGUGACUUUCAUUUGUGAUGAAUGUUAUCGUAGACUUCGGGAAUUCACGCUGAUAAGAACCGCUCGGACAGCGAAACUCGGACGGUUUCGUACGCUGUCCGAUAUUGAAACAUCCAAUCAAACCCCGACGAUCUCGCGAUCGCCAACUCCCGGCUUUCACUGAUACGUAAAGAUACCGUGCACUGAUACGUAUCUAAGGUCGAAUGCACGAGGUGGCUCCUUAGGCGCGGUCUUAUCACCCGUGGAAACAAGUCCUCCGCCAGUCAGUCAGUUAAGUGUUCCGAGAGCGUGACGACAAUGUCGCAUUUAUGUUGGAAAUAAUUGCCGUUGGCAAACUGUUGAUGGUGUCAUCGUACUUCGCGCGCGACGCAAUAAGUCUGAAAGUGACAACCCAGACAGUUUGCAGUGUUAGUUCGCGCGAUCGAUCACUGUAAUCGAUUUAUCUUAGUCGCGGGAGAGAUUAAUCGUGCCGCUCUCCCGUCUCGCGACCGUGGGCGCGAAAUUUCAGAACUUUCGCUCCGUUACGUGGCUAUGAUAGCUCUCGUUAUUGAAGAACGUCUUCUGAAAAAUCCUUGAGCACGAACGACGUGAGAGAUGAAGGGCUGAAUAAGGUGAAAGAGGUCCGUCGAGUCCUUGCCGCCGAAAAAUUCGGAUUGUUUAUCUUAUUUCUCUUGCAUAUCUAACUAGAUACGUAUCACGAAGUCGAGUGUGUUUUCGAUGUCUUUAUACGGUACCGAUUGAUUGCGUAGUCGAUUUAUCUCAUCGUGAGAGAUUAAUCGUCGCGCUGUUUUCAAGCUUUCGCUCAAUCGCACAUUUAAGGUGAUGCACGUGCCAAACCGCCUCGGCGUUGAUCGAAUACAAAGUGCGGUGACAAUACAAUGAUACAACUUUCAGGUUUUAUUCAGUCAGGAUAACAAUGACGAAUUCGUAGGAGCGGCGAAUUCCGAAUAAUUAUCGUUACGGUUUUGCUGCAUAUUUUUGCCGACAAUAGCGUCGUAACGGCGACAGACAUCGAUACCGCUAGCAGGUGAGAAUGCAUUCACGUUGCAAACUCGCUGUGCGAGAAGUUUCAGCGACGGGGAACAGAAGUUUUCAUCCGGACGAUUGUGUCAGUCAGUGCGCAAAAAGAGAAGCACACGUCUGACAAAAAGGGAGACUAAAAGAUAGAGAGGAAUUCUCGUAACUUUUUAUUUUUAAAUUUCUUACUUUAUGUAACUUGCUAUGAAUAAAGGCGGAUUUGUAUUAGUCACAUUAUGCAGAUCUUAUAUAAGUCACAUGUAUAUGUAUUAUUUUUAUAUUUAACGUAGAACUUUAAGCGAAGGAUUUAAUUUGUGUAAAGAAUAACUGCUUUAUUUAUAAAAAAAAAAA
RNAcentral lists this long non-coding RNA (2361 nucleotides) under Pogonomyrmex barbatus (red harvester ant). Its description in RNAcentral is "uncharacterized LOC105432461". Lineage: Eukaryota; Metazoa; Arthropoda; Insecta; Hymenoptera; Formicidae. The record is from RNAcentral.